This 204-nucleotide ribosomal RNA is filed under the name Staphylococcus pettenkoferi. Its description in RNAcentral is "partial 16S ribosomal RNA". It matches the Rfam family "Bacterial small subunit ribosomal RNA", at positions 327 to 523 of the family's 1533-position model. Lineage: Bacteria; Bacillati; Bacillota; Bacilli; Caryophanales; Staphylococcaceae. The record is from RNAcentral.
CGGUCCAGACUCCUACGGGAGGCAGCAGUAGGGAAUCUUCCGCAAUGGGCGAAAGCCUGACGGAGCAACGCCGCGUGAGUGAUGAAGGCCUUCGGGUCGUAAAACUCUGUUAUUAGGGAAGAACAAAUGUGUAAGUAACUAUGCACGUCUUGACGGUACCUAAUCAGAAAGCCACGGCUAACUACGUGCCAGCAGCCGCGGUAA